RNAcentral lists this ribosomal RNA (251 nucleotides) under uncultured bacterium. RNAcentral describes it as "partial 16S ribosomal RNA". It matches the Rfam family "Bacterial small subunit ribosomal RNA", at positions 1235 to 1500 of the family's 1533-position model. The record is from RNAcentral.
UGGUACAAUGCGAAGCGAAGCAGUGAUGUGAAGCAAAUCGCACUAAAGCCAGUCCCAGUUCGGAUAAGAGGCUGAAACUCGCCUCUUUGAAGUCGGAAUCGCUAGUAAUCGCAGAUCAGCAUGUUGCGGUGAAUACGUUCCCGGGUCUUGUACACACCGCCCGUCAAACCAUGAGAGUCACCAACACCCGAAGUCCGCCUUGGCGGCCUAAGGUGGGGGAGAUGAUUGGGGUUAAGUCGUAACAAGGUAUC